Long non-coding RNA from Daphnia carinata, 1212 nucleotides. RefSeq lists it as uncharacterized. The transcript has 6 exons. Lineage: Eukaryota; Metazoa; Arthropoda; Branchiopoda; Diplostraca; Daphniidae. The record is from RefSeq and is a predicted model, not a curated record.
UCAAUAAAUUUUUGUUAGUAUGGUCAGCAUAAGCAUUUUUCCUGUUUUUUUCGUAAUGUAACUCACGGCAGUUACUAGGAUGCUUCUAGACUUAAAGAGUUUAUAGCUUUACCUUCUCUUGGCAUGAGCGCAUGAAGGGUAACACGCUAGCCUAACGGUCGGUUACGGCUCGGGCCACUUAUAUCGUCUAUUCCUAGUUUCAUUUUUUAACUCAAUUCGUUUCACAGAAGGUGCUACUGAUAAUGGAGUAAAAUUUUUUCCUAGAUGACCUCACCAUUGCAUACAAACGAGAAAUGGUAGUUAAUUAAAGCUAGCUGUUGAAUCGAAGCCACACUUUGAAUAAUGCAUCAGAAAAUGUCAGAAUAGGUCUAGAUCUAAGGAGAGGAUAAAAUUAUUGCUAUCCAUAAUGGCAAUUUUCGUUUUCAUUCAAGUGCCAUUCUGAUUUAGAACAUGGCAACAUGAAGUAAAAACACAUGUUUCUCAGAAGGCACACAUUUGGAAAAGGGGAAGCUAUAAAGGAUUGGUUAGGUUAAUAGAAUUAUGCAAUUAUCUUUGACAGUUUGUGAUGCAGAUUGUCAGCUUCCAUGGUGUCCUCUUGGUAAUUAUCCUUGGGCCCUGAACAAUCAUUGAUAUUCUACGUCAAGUGUAGUUUUUAAUAUAAUGUAACAGGAGUUAUGACCUUGUGAGACUACCCUGAAAUCAGUUGGACUCCCACAUGUUCGACAUUUGUAAUAUCAGAUUGAAAUGAAGCGCAAAUUGAUGAAAACGUCGAAACGGCAAUCGCAGAGAUGUAUUUUCAGAAUAACCUAUAUGGUUCAUUAGGCAAGCGACGUCCAACGGAAAAUGGGAACUAAUUCUGGAGAACAUAUACAAUCGAAUUUAUUGCUGGCCAUGUUUUCCGCCUAGAGUAUACAAAGCUACGUUUGUUGUCGGUCGAAACGGAGUCAGCCAGCAUCUUUUACAUCCAUCAAUUCAUCCAGAUUAGUUGUGUAUAAAACUUAAGUUACUGUAAUUGCAGACGCAGAUGUAGAUCACAAAUUUCAUCCUAGGGCAAUCUUUUGCAAGUUAAAGAAUUGUCUUGCAAAGUUGCAAUGUUUUUUUUGUUUUGUUUUAAAACAGCAUUACAUAGAGCAAACCAAUCCAACAGAGAAGUCCUAUCGUUUAAUUUGAGCUAUAGUUUGAAAUAUGUCAACCCUACACUCAAUGGAUCCA